RNAcentral lists this unclassified non-coding RNA (4994 nucleotides) under Diabrotica virgifera virgifera (western corn rootworm). Its description in RNAcentral is "zinc finger protein 226-like". Lineage: Eukaryota; Metazoa; Arthropoda; Insecta; Coleoptera; Chrysomelidae. The record is from RNAcentral.
GAUCAAGAGGAGGUUAUGUUUAAAUAAAAAUCAUAAAAAUUAAUUGAUUUUUGAUUGAGUUAGGGACCAUUUUAUAAUAUUAUACGUUAGCUAUGGAAUUUAAAGUUGAAAUUAAAGAAGAGUUUCUUGAAUAUAACCAAAAAGAUACAGAUAGCCAGCUAAACACAUCCAUAGAUCUAGAAAACUUCAAAAUAGAACUAGAAGAUAACUCAGAAAUGGGACUAAAAGCUGUAAUUAAAGAAGAGUUUGCAGAGGGUUGUCAAGGAUUUAUGGAGAGUCAGCUAUAUACAUCUCCAGAUAUUAAAUACUUCGUUAAUAAAGAAGAUAAAGAUAACUCAGGUUUUUCUCAGAACGAAAUGGAAAUUAUGAAAACUGAACUUGCAUGCACAACGGAACAACAAAAAACUGAAGAAACAACAUUAAAUAAUUACAUUUGUGAAAUUUGUUUUAAGCAAUUUAACCACAAAAGGUCUUUGAAACGACAUAUAAAAACGCACACUAAAGAAAGGCUUUAUAAGUGUGAAAUUUGUUUUAAGCAGUUCAGUGAAGCAGGUCAAUUGAAAAGACAUUUGCGAGUGCACACUAAAGAAAAACCUCACAAGUGUGAAAUUUGUUUUAAGCAAUUUAAUGAAGCAGGUAACUUAAAAACACAUUUGAGAGUGCACACUGGAGAAAAACCUCACAAGUGUGAAAUUUGUUUUAAGCAGUUUAUUACGGCAAGUGAGUUGAAAGUACAUUUGAGAGUGCACACUGGAGAAAAACCUCACCAGUGUGAAAUCUGUUUUAAGCGGUUUAGUAGAGCAGGUGAUUCGAAAAGACAUUUGCGAGUGCACACUGGAGAAAAACCUCACAAGUGUGAAAUUUGUUCUAAACAAUUUAGUGAAGCAUAUACUUUAAAAGAACAUUUGAGAGUUCACACUGAAGAAAAUCCUCACAAGUGUCAAAUCUGCUUUAAGCUAUUUCUUACAGCAGGUCAUUUGAAAAUACAUUUGAGAGUGCACACUUGGGAGAAACCUCACAAGUGUGAAAUUUGUUUUAAGAAAUUUAUUACGGCAAGUGAGUUGAAAGUACAUUUGAGAGUACACACUGGAGAAAAGCCGUUUAAGUGUGAAAUUUGUUUUAAGCAAUUUAUUAUAGCAGGUCAUUUGACAACACAUUCAAAAGUGCACACUGGAGAAAAACCUCACAAGUGUGAAAUUUGUUUUAAGCAAUUUAAUCAAAAAAGUACUUUAAAAAGACAUUUGAGUGUGCAUACUGGACAAAAACCUCACAAGUGUGAAAUUUGUUUUAAGCAGUUUAUUACAGCAGGUGUUUUGAAAGUACAUUUGAGAGUGCAUACUGGAGAAAGACCUCACAAGUGUGAAAUCUGUUCUAAGCAGUUUAUUACAGCAGGUCAUUUGAAAGUACAUUUGAGAGUGCACACUGGAGAAAAACCUCACAAGUGUGAAAUUUGUUUUAAGCAGUUUAGUGAUCCAAGUCAUUUAAAAACACAUUUGAGAGUGCACACUUGGGGAAAACCUAACAAGUGUGAAAUUUGUUUUAAGAAAUUUCUUACGGCAAGUGAGUUGAAAGUACAUUUGAGAGUACACACUGGAGAAAAGCCGUAUAAGUGUGUAAUUUGUUUUAAGCAAUUUAUUAUAGCAGGUCAUUUGACAAGACAUUUAAAAGUGCACACUGGAGAAAAACCUCACAAGUGUGAAAUUUGUUUUAAGAAAUUUAUUACGGCAAGUGAGUUGAAAGUACAUUUGAGAGUACACACUGGAGAAAAGCCGUAUAAGUGUGAAAUUUGUUUUAAGCAAUUUAUUAUAGCAGGUAAUUUGACAAGACAUUUAAAAGUGCACACUGGAGAAAAACCUCACUAGUGUGAAACUUGUUUUAAGCAAUUUAAUCAAAAAAGUACUUUAAAAAGAUAUUUGAGAGUGCAUACUGGACAAAAACCUCACAAGUGUGAAAUUUGUUUUAAGCUGUUUAUUACAGCAAGUGUUUUGAAAGUACAUUUGAGAGUGCAUACUGGAGAAAGACCUCACAAGUGUGAAAUCUGUUCUAAGCAGUUUAUUAUAGCAGGUCAUUUGAAAACACAUUUGAGAGUGCACACUGGAGAAAAACCUCACUAGUGUGAAAUUUGUUUUAAGCAAUUUAUUACGGCAAGUGAGUUGAAAGUACAUUUGAAAAUACACACUGGAGAAAAGCCGUAUAAGUGAAAUUUGUUUAAAGCAAUUUAUUAUAGCAGGUCAUUUGAAAACACAUUUGAGAGUGCACACUGGAGAAAAACCUCACGAGUGUGAAAUUUGUUUUAAGCAAUUUAUUACGGCAAGUGAGUUGAAAGUACAUUUGAAAGUACGCACUGGAGAAAAGCCGUAUAAGUGAAAUUUGUUUAAAGCAAUUUAUUAUAGCAGGUCAUUUGAAAACACAUUUGAGAGUGCACACUGGAGAAAAACCUCACGAGUGUGAAAUUUGUUUUAAGCAAUUUAUUACGGCAAGUGAGUUGAAAGUACAUUUGAAAGUACGCACUGGAGAAAAGCCGUAUAAGUGAAAUUUGUUUAAAGCAAUUUAUUAUAGCAGGUCAUUUGAAAACACAUUUGAGAGUGCACACUGGAGAAAAACCUCACGAGUGUGAAAUUUGUUUUAAGCAAUUUAUUACAGCAAGUCAUUUGAAAACACAUUUGAGAGUGCACACUGGAGAAAAACCUCACGAGUGUGAAAUUUGUUUUAAGCAAUUUAUUACAGCAAGUGUGUUGAAAGUACAUUUGAGGGAGAAAAACCUCACAAGUGUGAAAUCUGUUUUCAGCGGUUCAGUCGAGCACAUCAUUUAAAAACACAUUUGAGAGUACACACUGGAGAAAAACCUUACAAGUGUGAAAUCUGUUUUAAGCAGUUCAGUGAUGCAAGUAAUUUAAAAACACAGUUGAGAGUGCACACUGGAGAAAAACCUCACAAGUGAAAUUUGUUUUAAGCAGUUUAUUACGGCAAGUGAGUUGAAAGUACAUUUGAGAGUGCACACUGGAGAAAAAUCUCACAAGUGCAAAAUUUGUUUGAAGUAAUUUAGUCAAAUAGAAACUUUGAAAAAGCAUUUGACAAUGCACACUGGAGAAAAGCCUUAUAAGUGCGAAAUUUGUUGUAAGCAGUUUUCUCAGAAGGUUCAGUUAAAUGGUCAUUUAAGAUUGCACACUUGAGAAACGCUUUACAAGUGUGAAAUUUGUUUAAAGCAGUUUACUCAGAAAGCUCAUUUAAAUGUUGAUUUAAAACUGCAUACUUGAGACAAGUCCUAAAGUGUGAAAUUUGUUUUAAGCAGUUUAGCCGUGCAACUACUUUGAAAAGACAUUUGAGAGUACACACUGGAGAAAAACCUCAAGUGUGAAAUUUGUUUGAAGCAAUUUAACCAAAUAGUUUCUUUGAAACGACAUAAUAAAACGCACCCUAGCGAAAAGCAUUACAAGUGUGAAAUUUGUUUUAAGUAGUUUAGUCUAGAACAGAGUUUGAAAAUACAGUGUGAAAUUUAUUUUAAGCAGUUUAGCCGAGCAACUACUUUGAAAAGACAUUUGAGAGUGCACACUAGAGAAAAACCUCACAAGUGUGAAGGCAUUUGUUUUAAGCAGUUUAUUAGUCAAAAAUAUCAUUUGAAAAGUCCUUUGGGAGUGCACACUGAGAAAAUUGCCUCACAAGUGUGAAAUUUGUCUCAAGUAGUUUACACAAACAGGUCAUUUGCACACUCAUUUGAGAAUACACACUACAGAAAACGUUAAUUUCGUCUAAUAAGUGGCCUGUGUUUUUAGUUUUGUAUAUAGCCUCUUAGAGGGCGCCGCCAAUAAAACUUUCGGACACGAACGUAACCUCAAUCUUUUGUUGACAUAAAUCGAGAGUUUUAUUGCGAUACAAUAAGUCAUGUAGAUACAAUGAAUUUUUGAAAUUAGCAAGUCGGUCAAAAAUGGAUCUUAGCCGAGAACAUUUUCGAGCAAUAAUUUUUUACAAUUUUUGGAGAGGAUUAUCCCAAAUGCCAUGUCACGCUGAAAUGGUUUCUGUGUUUGGGAAUGAAGCAUCACACCAGUCAACUAUUUCCCGCUUGUAUUGCGAAUUUCAACGUAGUCACGCCAGUCUCAGCGACGAAUCCAGGCCAGGUCCACCCAAAACAGUCACACAGCAAAACGUUGAUGCGGUUCGUCAGCUAAUUAAGGAUAACCGAUGUGUAAUAUACCGGGAGAUAGAGGCCUCUUUGGGCAUUUCAAAGACCUCGAUCCAAAAGAUCCUACAUGAAGAACUGGGUGUUAGGAAGUUGGCUUGCGUUUGGAUCCCUCAUUUGCUUACAGAAGAGCAAAAAGCAGUUCGCGUCAAUUGGUGUCGAAAAACAUUGGAACGGUUCAACAAAAGAAGCUCAAAAAACGUUUAUAGUAUUGCUAGUGGCGAUGAAUCUUGGGUUUACUCCUACCAACCGGAAAAUAAGCGCUAAUCCGCUGCGAGUGUUUCACGAUGAGGUAAAACCAACAAAAGUGAUCCGUUCUCGAAGUGUGUCAAAGAAAAUGGUUGCAACUUUUAUGUCAAAAUCUGGUCAUGUGGCAACAAUUGCUGUAGAAGAUUGAAGAACGGUUACUUCCUGAUUGGUAUAUAACCCUUUGUUUACCAGAAGUUAUCGCGAAACUCCGACAAAGCAGCAACACACAACGGCGAAUCAUCUUACGUCAUGACAAUACAAGUGCCCAUACUGCCCAUAAGACAAAAGAGUUUUUGGACCUUCAAAACAUCGAAUUGUUAAACCAUCCACCGUAUAGUUCCGACCUAAGUUCCAACGACUUCUUCACGUAUCCAAAGAUUAACAAUUCAAUGCGUGGGCUGCGAGUCCAGUCGCCAGAAGAAGUCAUCGAUGCCUUUAAAACAGCGAUUUUGCAGGUGUAAACUGAAGACUGGAAUAACUGUUUUACCGAUUGGUUUGAACAUAUGCAAAAGUGUAUCGAUCUUGGUGGGACAUAUUUUGAAAAGUAAUAAAGUAGUUUCAGUUUAAA